UACGUAGGUGGCAAGCGUUGUCCGGAUUUAUUGGGCGUAAAGCGAGCGCAGGCGGUUCUUUAAGUCUGAUGUGAAAGCCCCCGGCUCAACCGGGGAGGGUCAUUGGAAACUGGAGGACUUGAGUACAGAAGAGGAGAGUGGAAUUCCACGUGUAGCGGUGAAAUGCGUAGAGAUGUGGAGGAACACCAGUGGCGAAGGCGACUCUCUGGUCUGUAACUGACGCUGAGGAGCGAAAGCGUGGGUAGCAAACAGG
Molecule: ribosomal RNA, 253 nt
Filed under: uncultured microorganism
Description: partial 16S ribosomal RNA
Rfam family: Bacterial small subunit ribosomal RNA
Source: RNAcentral